Molecule: ribosomal RNA, 1419 nt
Filed under: Triticum aestivum (bread wheat)
Lineage: Eukaryota; Viridiplantae; Streptophyta; Magnoliopsida; Poales; Poaceae
Description: partial small subunit ribosomal RNA
Source: RNAcentral
AUGGCGUCGAGGCUUGAACAAAAUGUGAGAGCAAGUGCUCGUACACUGAGGGUAGCUAACACCUGUCUACAUGUUUGGGUUGUGAAUCUCCGCUGGGAUUUCAGUGUGGCGUCUGGGACAACGGGACUACGUGUGAAAAGUGUACAUCAUUCGCCUGAUGACUACCUUUCUGUGGUAAGGAUCGUGGACGCAUUCACGAGACCUUGCUGCCUGCCAUCAUCAAAUCAUAAUAAGAAAGAGGACAAUGGUGGUUAUCUUAUGAAUUCCUCCAAGGAGCUUGUGGUCCAAGGUUUUUGUAUCCUUGGGAAGCUCGCAAUCAGUGACAACAACUGCAGAGUCAUGCUCGACAUUCCAUAUCUACUCUCAACGAUCUUGGCGCCUAUGACCUCGGACCUACUCCACCAAGUCGAUCAGGCUGCCUGGUCCGACAUACUAGAAGGUUCACUCCAAGUGAUGGUCUACCUCACACAUGCUAAAGGACAGACCGGCACCAAGUUGCAUAUUGAAAUUUCAAAUUGUAAGGAAGUGAUCAGCACAAUGGAGAGAAUACUCAAGUGUGAAAAAUGCAAGGGAAAGAUGAAGAGACAAGUUACUUGGAUUCUCGCAAAACUACACAGCGAUACAUCUACCACCCUGGAGACUGCAAGCAGAGAAAAGUUUACCGAGAUGCUGGUACAUAUGAUGAUUGAUGAUAACUUUGAGGACAGCCUACGGUUGGAAGCAGUUCGCACACUGGCGCUUCUAUCUUACAAAAUUGAAAGAAGUGCCAUGUUUAUCAUGAUGGUAAAUGAUACUGUUGUCGAUAAUCUCACAACAAUGAUUCUUGGAAUGGGCACAUACAAAAUAAUGGCAAUGAAACUCAUUGAAGCUCUAUGUAUUCAUUACACCGACAAUGAUGAGAGUCUCAAAAAGCUACGGAAAGCCAUGAUCAAUGCAGUUCCAAAGAAAGAUGACCGGAUGGAAGAGUGUGUUGUGCCUUCAGUUCUAUCCUUUUGUGUCACAGCAUGCGACACACUGAAUGCAGAUCAAGACUUGGCUCAUCAGUUUUAUGCAGUUUCCCCAAGAGACGGAUCAUUAAGCUUUCCACGGAAUCUUAAGGAGAUUGUCAAAAGAAGUAUGCACCCCAGGGAAGAUUGCCUGAAAAUAGUGAAGCUUACCUGUGAGAUGGUCAUAUCAAUGAUGAAACACAGAGGCAGCUAUGUCAGGGAAGACCUGGAAGACUUGAUGGAUGCGCUUUCCAGUGCUUCAAAAGAGGUGCUUCUUCUUGAUGGCUCCAUGCUUUUUGACAUCAUGCUCGACGAGGAACUAACACCGGAGGCUUUCAGGAGUUGUGCUUCCCAUGUGAAAGAAGCACAAGAACUUGUAGACAAACGCAGUGUGCACUUAAGUCCGGACUUGCCAUUGGGGAACCCUGUUUAA